Delphinella strobiligena is the source of this 136-nucleotide non-coding RNA. Lineage: Eukaryota; Fungi; Ascomycota; Dothideomycetes; Dothideales; Dothioraceae. The record is from the annotation of a GenBank genome assembly.
GCUGCGGUGGCCAAGUGGUACGGCAUUGAGCUUUUACACUCAUCACUUUCUUGACUCAUUCACCUAGGGUGAGGAGAGGGGGUGGUGGUGGUUGAGAGGUACUCAAGGAUCGCGGGUUCGAUCCCCGUCCGCAGCG